RNAcentral lists this ribosomal RNA (253 nucleotides) under uncultured bacterium. RNAcentral describes it as "partial 16S ribosomal RNA". It matches the Rfam family "Bacterial small subunit ribosomal RNA", at positions 524 to 776 of the family's 1533-position model. The record is from RNAcentral.
UACGUAGGGGGCGAGCGUUGUCCGGAGUUACUGGGCGUAAAGCGCCCGCAGGCGGUCAGGCGCGUUUCGGGUUACAGCUCCCGGCUUCACUGGGAGAGCGCCCGGAAGACGGCCUGACUUGAGGCAGUGAGAGGGACACGGAAUUCCGGGUGUAGUGGUGAAAUGCGUAGAUAUCCGGAGGAACACCGAAGGCGAAGGCAGUGUCCUGGCACCGACCUGACGCUCAGGGGCGAAAGCUAGGGGAGCGAACGGG